GGCAAGAUGGCCGAGUUGGUUAUGGCGCCAGGUUAAGGACCAAGGAUAAUCCUUAUAUCUAUCUCCUGGUGGAGCAAUCCUCCUGGGUUCAAGUCCCAGUCUUGUCA
RNAcentral lists this transfer RNA (107 nucleotides) under Hirsutella minnesotensis 3608. It matches the Rfam family "tRNA". Rfam says of the family: Transfer RNA (tRNA) molecules are approximately 80 nucleotides in length. Lineage: Eukaryota; Fungi; Ascomycota; Sordariomycetes; Hypocreales; Ophiocordycipitaceae. The record is from Rfam by way of RNAcentral.